Long non-coding RNA from Eupeodes corollae, 1047 nucleotides. RefSeq lists it as uncharacterized. The transcript is spliced from 4 exons. NCBI's taxonomy places the organism in Eukaryota, Metazoa, Arthropoda, Insecta, Diptera, Syrphidae. The record is from RefSeq and is a predicted model, not a curated record.
UGUAAUGUUUUGUUUUUUGUAUAUCGUACGUCACAGUCAAAAAAGAAAAAACUUAUUUUUAUUAUUAUUAACUGAUGAUUAUAAAUAGUAUCAAACAGAAAAAAUACCUCUGUAUAAAUAUACACAAAUAUGUAUAUUAAACAAAUAUAAAAAUUGUGAAUAUCAAUAAAAUUUAAUACAAAAAUAAUGAGUCAGGGGUGGAAUCGGCUAAGGUGGUUGUUAAUAAAUGAGAUUCAAAACAAUCGAAUUUGAUGUACAAUAUUUUAUAUGAACCAUUUUUAAAUUUCACCAUAGCAAUUGUGACGAUUGUAGUCUGAAUUCGUUCAAUCGAAUUGAAUUGAGUUUACACAUAUAGAAAACAAGGUGAUGACCAAAUUUGACUAUAAGAAUAGAAGAGGAUAAUAGUCAACUAUCACCUUAGCCGAUUCCGCCCAGCUAAUAAAAAAAAACAGUCAAAAACAACAGCAACGAAAAAAAGAAGAAACAUUCAUUAUGAAAAAAUGGAAAAUAUUAAACAAAAACAAAGUAUCUACGUCAAAGCAAAAACAAAGAGCUGGAGCUAUGUUAAGACAAAUGUGUGGUUGAAUUUGUAUACCUCGCGCCAAUCCGGAUUUGGAGUUAGGAAAAGAAUGGAGAUCUAAUUUCAUCUGCCUAUGUUAAAGGGCAACGCCUGUAUGGAUUUCUUCAUCUGUUAAAUAUUUAGUGAUAACCGAUUUCUAGAGUUAAACUUUCUCCACUGCUAGAUAAUGGCUAUAAAAGUUGUAUCCAGCUAAAUAAUACAAUAUUUUUAGAGAAAACAAGUAAAAUGCACAUUAGAUUAGUUUUGGCUGGGUUUUACUAAAAUUUAACUGCAUUGAAUCAAGGCAAACAUUUUAGGACCAUGCUGCUUUUUAUGGAACAUUACUGAUCACAACCUCAUUAUUGCAAAAACAUUGAAAACCUUACUACAAAUUUUCUUCAUGAUAGUGUAGAUAAAGAGAAAUAAUUCAAAAAUAAAAAUAAAAGAAAAAAAGCAAAUUAUAACCUAAUAAAUAACUAAAUACAAUA